UACGUAGGGUGCAAGCGUUGUCCGGAAUUAUUGGGCGUAAAGAGCUCGUAGGUGGUCUGUCGCGUCGGCUGUGAAAUCCCGAGGCUCAACCUCGGGACUGCAGUUGAUACGGGCAGACUAGAGUUCGGUAGGGGAGACUGGAAUUCCUGGUGUAGCGGUGGAAUGCGCAGAUAUCAGGAGGAACACCGGUGGCGAAGGCGGGUCUCUGGGCCGAAACUGACACUGAGGAGCGAAAGCGUGGGGAGCAAACAGG
Molecule: ribosomal RNA, 253 nt
Filed under: uncultured bacterium
Lineage: Bacteria
Description: partial 16S ribosomal RNA
Rfam family: Bacterial small subunit ribosomal RNA
Source: RNAcentral